CCUACGGGAGGCAGCAGUGGGGAAUAUUGGGCAAUGGGCGCAAGCCUGACCCAGCAACGCCGCGUGAAGGAAGAAGGCUCUCGGGUUGUAAACCUCUUUUGUCAGGGAAGAGUAGAAGACGGUACCUGACUAAUAAGCUACGGCUAACUACGUGCCAACAGCCGCGGUAAUACGUAGGUGGCAAGCGUUGUCCGGGUUUACUGGGUGUAAAGGGUGUGUAGCCGGGUUGACAAGUCAGAUGUGAAAUCCUGCGGCUUAACCGCAGAACUGCAUUUGAAACUGUUGAUCUUGAGUACUGGAGAGGCAGAUGGAAUUCGUAGUGUAGCGGUGAAAUGCGUAGAUAUUAGGAAGAACACCAGUGGCGAAGGCGGUCUACUGGACAGCAACUGACAGUGAGGCGCGAAAGCGUGGGGAGCAAACAGGAUUAGAUACCCCUGUAGUC
This 442-nucleotide ribosomal RNA is filed under the name uncultured bacterium. Its description in RNAcentral is "partial 16S ribosomal RNA". It matches the Rfam family "Bacterial small subunit ribosomal RNA", at positions 338 to 795 of the family's 1533-position model. The record is from RNAcentral.